UAUGGCUCAGGAUGAACGCUAGCGGCAGGCUUAACACAUGCAAGUCGAGGGGGCAUCGGGAGUAGCAAUACUGCCGGCGACCGGCGCAAGGGUGCGUAACGCGUGGGUAACCUGCCCAUAAGAGGGGGAUAACAUCCGGAAACGGGUGCUAAUACCGCAUAGUUUCUUGAUCGCAUGAUCGGGAAAGGAAAGACGGCCUUUGUGCUGUCGCUUAUGGAUGGACCCGCGGCGUAUUAGUUAGUUGGUGAGGUAAUGGCUCACCAAGACGAUGAUACGUAGCCGACCUGAGAGGGUGAUCGGCCACAUUGGGACUGAGACACGGCCCAAACUCCUACGGGAGGCAGCAGUAGGGAAUCUUCCGCAAUGGACGAAAGUCUGACGGAGCAACGCCGCGUGAGUGAAGAAAGGUUUUCGGAUCGUAAAACUCUGUUGUCAGAGAAGAACAAGUUGGAGAGUAACUGCUCCAGCCUUGACGGUAUCUGACCAGAAAGCCACGGCUAACUACGUGCCAGCCGCCGC
This 519-nucleotide ribosomal RNA is filed under the name uncultured bacterium. Its description in RNAcentral is "bacterial SSU rRNA". It matches the Rfam family "Bacterial small subunit ribosomal RNA", at positions 18 to 518 of the family's 1533-position model. The record is from RNAcentral.